This 270-nucleotide long non-coding RNA is filed under the name Drosophila guanche. The record is from RNAcentral. Lineage: Eukaryota; Metazoa; Arthropoda; Insecta; Diptera; Drosophilidae.
AACUGAAUAUCUUAUUACGUCAUUUCGGCCGAUGCCAUGUUAUUUAGUGCGAUUGCAAAAGGUUGGUCAUCUCGCUGUCGCAUAAUCUCUGUAAGUUCGAAAAACUUGAAGCUAUCCCAGAGACUAGAGCCAACAAUAGCACUGUAUGGAUUAAGCACUCCUGAUGAGGAUUUGAAUAUCCAUCGAUCACUUACUGGACAUAACUGCCUUAGAUUGUCGAACACGAUAACAGAAACGCCGCCAAAAGGACUUGAAAAAAUUUGCUUUAGG